This 881-nucleotide ribosomal RNA is filed under the name uncultured Thermomonas sp. RNAcentral describes it as "bacterial SSU rRNA". It matches the Rfam family "Bacterial small subunit ribosomal RNA", at positions 33 to 902 of the family's 1533-position model. The record is from RNAcentral. Lineage: Bacteria; Pseudomonadati; Pseudomonadota; Gammaproteobacteria; Lysobacterales; Lysobacteraceae.
ACGCUGGCGGCAGGCCUAAUACAUGCAAGUCGAACGGCAGCACAGUGGAGCUUGCUCCAUGGGUGGCGAGUGGCGGACGGGUGAGGAAUACAUGGGAAUCUGCCCAGUCGUGGGGGAUAACGUAGGGAAACUUACGCUAAUACCGCAUGCGCCCUUCGGGGGAAAGCCGGGGACCUUCGGGCCUGGCGCGAUUGGAUGAGCCCAUGUUCGAUUAGCUAGUUGGCGGGGUAAAGGCCCACCAAGGCGACGAUCGAUAGCUGGUCUGAGAGGAUGAUCAGCCACACUGGGACUGAGACACGGCCCAGACUCCUACGGGAGGCAGCAGUAGGGAAUAUUGGACAAUGGGCGCAAGCCUGAUCCAGCCAUGCCGCGUGAGUGAAGAAGGCCCUCGGGUUGUAAAGCUCUUUUGUCCGGGAAGAAAAGCAUCGGGCUAAUACCUCGGUGUUCUGACGGUACCGGAAGAAUAAGCACCGGCUAACUUCGUGCCAGCAGCCGCGGUAAUACGAAGGGUGCAAGCGUUACUCGGAAUUACUGGGCGUAAAGCGUGCGUAGGUGGUUUGUUAAGUCUGAUGUGAAAGCCCUGGGCUCAACCUGGGAAUGGCAUUGGAAACUGGCGGACUCGAGUGCGGUAGAGGGGUGUGGAAUUCCCGGUGUAGCAGUGAAAUGCGUAGAGAUCGGGAGGAACACCAGUGGCGAAGGCGACACCCUGGACCAGCACUGGCACUGAGGCACGAAAGCGUGGGGAGCAAACAGGAUUAGAUACCCUGGUAGUCCACGCCCUAAACGAUGCGAACUGGAGGUUGGGUGCACUUUGGCGCUCAGUCUCGAAGCUAACGCGUUAAGUUCGCCGCCUGGGGAGUACGGUCGCAAGACUGAAACUC